AGGGUGUAAACGCUGCAGACUUGGUGUUGGAGGCCCUUUGGGGGCAUUCAGUGCCGGAGAGAAGUUGUUAAGUCUGCUACUUGGGAGUACGUCCGCAAGGAUGAAACUUAAAGGAAUUGGCGGGGGAGCACCGCAACGGGAGGAGCGUGCGGUUUAAUUGGAUUCAACACCGUAAAACUCACCAGGGAAGACUGUUACAUGAAGGCCGAGAUGAAGACUCUGCUAGAUUUUCAGAGAGGAGGUGCAUGGCGUCAGUGACU
This 260-nucleotide ribosomal RNA is filed under the name uncultured archaeon. RNAcentral's name for it is "partial 16S ribosomal RNA". It matches the Rfam family "Archaeal small subunit ribosomal RNA", at positions 748 to 1008 of the family's 1478-position model. The record is from RNAcentral.